UUGGUACUUCAUUCUACAAGUGGAGUUGAGAACUCGACACUCCUCGAUAGUGAAAAUCACGUACCUAACUAGAUUCAUGUUUCGUGAAAAACAGUGAUAGCCUAACAAUGAGUAAUUACGGUUUUGUUUCAAUUUUCGCGUUCGUUUUGGCGUUUUAUGUUUCAUGUAGGGCGGCAUGGGAAAUACCGGAAAUACAAUGUUACAGGUGUCAUACUUCUUCUACCCAACCAGAUCCAGACUGUGUAAAUGUGAAUCGGUGGCGCACAGAGACACCAACAUUUGCUACCUCGAGAGAUGGCCACAUUGGUUGUUUCUACGCUAAGGUUCGAGUGACAGAUGGGUCAUAUAAGUAAUACAACGAGAUGUGACAACUUAUGCAAUAUGCAGCACCCGAAACAAACUUCACUAGUUGUGAUUAUUUUCGGAAACGGCACGCAGAAGUAGUAGAAUGUGAAAUUUGUACUGGUAAAGAUCUCUGCAAUUCUUCGUCAGGUGGCCCUCCAAUAACCACGUCAUUCACCAGCUCCAACCAUGCCCCGUAAGAAUUUUUUUUAUGUACCUAUUUGAUGAAAUGCACCAUACUGCGAGUGAACAAAUAGCUACGCCUAAAUGUAUUGAAUUAUUAGCUUGUUCGCGUAAAAAUCAUGUCUAAUCAACUAUUUUUUAAUGUAUUAUGUACCUAGGUGUUCUGGAAAUAAAAUGUUACAAUUGUGAACAUACUUCUAGCAAACAUGAUCCAAACUGUGUAAAUGUGAAUUCGAAAACCAGUUUUAAGUCAUUUCCUACGACGCCUGUGGACGAUGAUAAUAUAUUGCCGCAAUUCGUGCAGGGUUAUGAUGCAGUUUGUAUAUACCUUAAGACUUAUCGGAUAGGUAGGCAGUAAAAUGAAACGUUUAUUUUUCGCA
Planococcus citri (citrus mealybug) is the source of this 905-nucleotide long non-coding RNA. RefSeq lists it as uncharacterized. The transcript has 3 exons. Lineage: Eukaryota; Metazoa; Arthropoda; Insecta; Hemiptera; Pseudococcidae. The record is from RefSeq and is a predicted model, not a curated record.